This is a non-coding RNA of 397 nucleotides. It matches the Rfam family "transfer-messenger RNA". From Rfam's summary of the family: Bacterial tmRNA, also known as 10Sa RNA or SsrA, is named for its dual tRNA and mRNA-like properties. Its role is to liberate the mRNA from a stalled ribosome. The record is from Rfam.
GGGGUUGUUUGGUUUUGACAGCGAGAGAUGUGGUAUGUAAGCAUGCAGUGCGUCAGUGAUUUGCACUAUAAUCUCAGUUACUGAACAAUUAUCUGGCAACGAAAAUUAUGCUCUCGCUGCUUAAUCGAAGUACAGUAGAUUAGCUUUAUUUCCGUCACAGUGAUGGAAACGAGACAUCGCUCAAAAGCUCUUGUUCCGAAGCGUUUGGUAUAGCGGUGCAGUAAAAUCGGGAAUAGUUUUGGUCUUGUUCCGCGGCCGGAAUGAAAUUUUAGGAACUAAGGCAUAAGUGGGUGGCUCUGGUCUUGCUUAUGCACGAAAACCGAAGGCAGAGAUAAGCAUGUAGAAAGCAUAUGGCUUCCUUGUUUGGACGAGGGUUCGACUCCCUCCAGCUCCACAA